This 544-nucleotide ribosomal RNA is filed under the name uncultured bacterium. Its description in RNAcentral is "bacterial SSU rRNA". It matches the Rfam family "Bacterial small subunit ribosomal RNA", at positions 39 to 531 of the family's 1533-position model. The record is from RNAcentral.
CUCACAUCGGCGCGUAAUCAAGCCUACACAUGCAGUCGAACGGUACCAGAGAGCUUGCUCUCUGGUGACGAGUGGCGUGACUGGGUGAUAAUGUCUGGGAAACUGCCGAUGGAGGGGGAUCUACUGGAAACUGGUCGUAAUACUGAUAACUGUCUUCUGUGACCAAAGUGGUGUGGACCUUCUGUGUGCCUCACACCAUCGUGAUGUGCCCAGAUGGGAUUAGCUAGUAGUGUGNGGUAAUGGUCACCUAUGGAGAUACCCUAGCUGGUCUGAGAGGAUGACCAGUCCACACUGGAACUGAGACACGGUCCAGACUCCUACGUGGAGGCAGCAGUGGGGAAUAUUUGCACAAUGGGCUGCAAUGCCUGAUAGCAUGCCAUGCCGCGUGUAUGAAGAAGGCCUUUCGGGGUUGUACACAGUACUUUCAGGCGGGUGAGGAAAGGCGAUAAAGCGUUACAUAACCCUUGUCGAUUGACCGUUACCCCGCAGAAGAAAGCACCUGGGCUAACUNCCGUGCCAAGCAAGCCGGCNGGUAAUACNGGAA